Molecule: long non-coding RNA, 526 nt
Filed under: Dasypus novemcinctus (nine-banded armadillo)
Lineage: Eukaryota; Metazoa; Chordata; Mammalia; Cingulata; Dasypodidae
Description: lncRNA (ENSDNOG00000052725.1)
Source: RNAcentral
GAGGGAAAGAAACAAAGAAUAAUGAAAUGUAUGAGAGAGCAGAUAAGGUGAGUUUUGGUGUGAAUUUUUUGACUCCUAAAGACAAAAGUCUGGACACUGAGAAUAAAGAAAGAUAUGCUUUCCUGGAGGAAAAGGAAUAUUUCAUCCAGGCUCUGUCAUUAGUCUUCAUACUGACAGGAAGAAAGAUCCACUUCUGAGGCUUCCAACGAAAAAGUCCGUGUGCGUUUCUGUGUAUGUGAUUGUGGUUAGAUGACAAAGCAAAUAAAUUUACGAUGCCCCAAACUGCUAACAUGUUCAAAUUACUUCUUUCUUUUAUCUCUUAGCUCUCUUCUAUCUUCCUGAAGACAUGAACACCUCUGUAUUCGUUCCAUGUUUUUAAAUCAAAGCGCCUUCCAGAAUCUUAUCUGAAUUGCUAGGAGGCAGAAAAAAACAAAAGACUUUCCUCAGGUGGCUCCAUUUAGUUUCCAAUUUUUUGUUGCUUCCUCUAAUCUAACAAUCUUAUUGAAUAUGUUAUCCUUCUUCCAAC